This 433-nucleotide ribosomal RNA is filed under the name uncultured bacterium. RNAcentral describes it as "partial 16S ribosomal RNA". It matches the Rfam family "Bacterial small subunit ribosomal RNA", at positions 29 to 507 of the family's 1533-position model. The record is from RNAcentral.
AGCGAACGCUGGCGGCAGGCUUAACACAUGCAAGUCGAGCGGGCCCUUCGGGGUCAGCGGCGGACGGGUGGGUAACGCGUGGGAACGUGCCUUCUGGUCUGGAAUAACCCUGGGAAACUAGUGCUAAUACCGGAUACGCCCUUUUGGGGAAAGGUUUACUGCCGGACGAUCGGCCCGCGUCUGAUUAGCUAGUUGGUUGGGUAACGGCCUACCAAGGCGACGAUCAGUAGCUGGUCUGAGAGGAUGAUCAGCCACACUGGGACUGAGACACGGCCCAGACUCCUACGGGAGGCAGCAGUGGGGAAUAUUGGACAAUGGGCGCAAGCCUGAUCCAGCCAUGCCGCGUGAGUGAUGAAGGCCUUAGGGUUGUAAAGCUCUUUUAUCCGGGACGAUAAUGACGGUACCGGAGGAAUAAGCCCCGGCUAACUUCGUG